Molecule: ribosomal RNA, 384 nt
Filed under: Triticum aestivum (bread wheat)
Lineage: Eukaryota; Viridiplantae; Streptophyta; Magnoliopsida; Poales; Poaceae
Description: partial small subunit ribosomal RNA
Source: RNAcentral
AUGCGCGCAUCGCUGUCCUCGCCUGUUUGUCCUUCCACCUCAGUCCAACCACUACUAUGCUCUGCUUGUAGGCUACCAUGGAGCAAGUGGUUGUUAUGUGAGUACCAAAUUUCUGGUUGUUCAUCGAUUGCUGGUCUUGUUCAUGUUUCUGUGCUCCGCCCAUCAUCGAGAAAUUGCACCGGUCAGUUGAUCAUCGAGUUUGGUUCGCCGUUUCAUCUGCUCAGUGUGUUGUCUCUGCAGUCCAGUGAGGAAUUGAGUGUUGUCUUCAUGACUAAUGGUGAAGCAGUGACAUUCAAAGUUUCACAGCCAUCUGUGAAAGCAUCAAUGGCAACCACUGAGUGUUCAACUAAAUCUGCAAGUUUCAACAGGCUUUACAGGGCAUAA